UACGUAGGGGGCAAGCGUUGUCCGGAUUUAUUGGGCGUAAAGAGCGUGUAGGCGGUCUGGUAGGUCCGCUGUGAAAACUCGAGGCUCAACCUCGAGACGCCGGUGGAAACCAUCAGACUAGAGUCCGGAAGAGGAGAGUGGAAUUCCCGGUGUAGAGGUGAAAUUCGUAGAUAUCGGGAGGAACACCAGUGGCGAAGGCGGCGACCUGGACAGUUCCUGACGCUGAGGCACGAAGGCCAGGGGAGCAAACGGG
Molecule: ribosomal RNA, 253 nt
Filed under: uncultured bacterium
Lineage: Bacteria
Description: partial 16S ribosomal RNA
Rfam family: Bacterial small subunit ribosomal RNA
Source: RNAcentral